This 405-nucleotide unclassified non-coding RNA is filed under the name uncultured fungus. RNAcentral describes it as "partial contains small subunit ribosomal RNA, internal transcribed spacer 1, and 5.8S ribosomal RNA". The stretch from base 1 to 73 matches the Rfam family "Eukaryotic small subunit ribosomal RNA", at positions 1759 to 1831 of the family's 1831-position model. Lineage: Eukaryota; Fungi. The record is from RNAcentral.
ACAAACUUGGUCAUUUAGAGGAAGUAAAAGUCGUAACAAGGUUUCCGUAGGUGAACCUGCGGAAGGAUCAUUACUGAAUUCAUGAAGGGGUUGUAGCUGGCCUCUAGAGGCAUGUGCACAACCUGUCUUGACUUUCAUUCAUUCACCUGUGCACUUUUGUAGUCUUUUGAGCAGACAUAUGAGAGCAGUGACCAAGCUCAGCUGUUAACAGGCUGGAUAUGAGGCUUGCCUGAUAUCAUCAGGCUCUUCUGGGUUGCAAAUCUCUCGUCUGCAGAGACUAUGUAUUUUAUCAUAAACACCUAUAGUAUGUGACUGGAAUGUAAUUGAAUUGGCCUUGUGCCUAUUAAACAUUAUACAACUUUCAGCAACGGAUCUCUUGGCUCUCGCAUCGAUGAAGAACGCAGC